UUGAGUAGAAAUUAGAUGGAUGAAAAGGGUAAUUAGUGAAACUAAAAAUGAAUUAAGAAAAAGAAGAAAGAAAUUGGCAUGUGGAAGUGUAAGAGAGAAAGUAGGAACUGCAAAUGAUAAUAUAAAGAUGAAAGAGGAAAAAUUUAGGGUUAUUAAAGCGAAAUAUGCAGAUGCGUGAGGAGAUUCACGUGUGUAGAAGGAUUUUUGGUUACUUUUUACCGUAAGGCGUGUUAAAUAAAGUUAAGUCGCAGCUUACCCAAAACCUUGUUAGCCCUACAAAUAUAGCCCAUGCCAUACCUCAUUUGGGCUUCAACGCUACGUACUCAAACAUCCUUUUGUUUUUACCCUAAAUUAC
This 355-nucleotide long non-coding RNA is filed under the name Vigna radiata. RNAcentral's name for it is "long non-coding RNA (VRAD_LNC010996)". The record is from RNAcentral. Lineage: Eukaryota; Viridiplantae; Streptophyta; Magnoliopsida; Fabales; Fabaceae.